This 384-nucleotide ribosomal RNA is filed under the name uncultured prokaryote. RNAcentral's name for it is "bacterial SSU rRNA". It matches the Rfam family "Archaeal small subunit ribosomal RNA", at positions 341 to 725 of the family's 1478-position model. The record is from RNAcentral.
GCGAAAACUUUUCAAUGCUGGCAACAGCGAUAAGGGAACCUCGAGUGCCAGGUUACAAAUCUGGCUGUCGAGAUGCCUAAAAAGCAUUUCAUAGCAAGGGCCGGGCAAGACCGAUGCCAGCCGCCGCGGUAACACCGGCGGCUCGAGUGGUAACCGUUAUUAUUGGGUCUAAAGGGUCUGUAGCCGGCCGGAUAAGUCUCUUGAGAGAUCUGGCAGCUUAACUGUCAGGCUUUCAGGAGAUACUGUCUGGCUCGAGGCCGGGAGAGGUGAGAGGUACUUCAGGGGUAGGGGUGAAAUCUUGUAAUCCUUGAAGGACCACCAGUGGCGAAGGCGUCUCACCAGAACGGACCUGACGGCAAGGGACGAAAGCUAGGGGCACGAACC